AACGAACGCUGGCGGCGUGCUUAACACAUGCAAGUCGAACGCGAAAGGGACUUCGGUCCUGAGUAAAGUGGCGCACGGGUGAGUAACGCGUAGAUAACCUGUCUUCAUGUCUGGAAUAAUACGCCGAAAGGGGUACUAAUACCGGAUAUUCUUGCUUUUCAUAAGUUAUGCAAGCAAAGGUGGCCUCUGCAUAUGCGUACUGCAUGAAGAGGGGUCUGCGUACCAUUAGCUAGUAGGUGGGGUAAUGGCCUACCUAGGCGACGAUGGUUAGCGGGUCUGAGAGGAUGAUCCGCCACACUGGCACUGGAACACGGGCCAGACUCCUACGGGAGGCAGCAGUGAGGAAUAUUGCGCAAUGGGGGAAACCCUGACGCAGCGACGCCGCGUGAGUGAGGAAAGGCCUUCGGGUCGUAAAGCUCUGUCAAGAGGAAAGAAGUGUACAAUGGCUAAUACCUGUUGUAUUUGACGGUACCUCUAAAGGAAGCACCGGCUAACUCCGUGCCAGCAGCUGC
RNAcentral lists this ribosomal RNA (512 nucleotides) under uncultured bacterium. RNAcentral describes it as "bacterial SSU rRNA". It matches the Rfam family "Bacterial small subunit ribosomal RNA", at positions 29 to 518 of the family's 1533-position model. The record is from RNAcentral.